MicroRNA from Vombatus ursinus (common wombat), 30 nucleotides. The record is from Ensembl. NCBI's taxonomy places the organism in Eukaryota, Metazoa, Chordata, Mammalia, Diprotodontia, Vombatidae.
GAACCCUGGACUUGGAGUCAGAAGACCUGA